AAUAAACGUUGGCGGCGUGCUUAACACAUGCAAGUCGAGCGAGAAAGGUCUUCGGACUGAGUACAGCGGCAGACGGGUGAGAAACGCGUGGGAAUCUGCCUUUUAGUGAAGAAUAUCCUCGAGAAAUCGAGGUCAAUACUGCAUAAGUCUCGAAAGAGAGAAAGAUGGCCUCUUUGCUGUCGCUAAAAGAUGAGCCUGCGUACUAUUAGCUAGUUGGGGGGUAAUAGCCUACCAAGGCGAUGAUGGUUAGCCGACCUGAGAGGGUGUACGGCCACACUGGAACUUAGACACGGUCCAGACUCCUACGGGAGGCAGCAGUGAGGAAUAUUGCGCAAUGGGCGAAAGCCUGACGCAGCGACGCCGCGUGGAGGAUGAAGGUCUUGGAUUGUAAACUU
This 395-nucleotide ribosomal RNA is filed under the name uncultured bacterium. Its description in RNAcentral is "bacterial SSU rRNA". It matches the Rfam family "Bacterial small subunit ribosomal RNA", at positions 29 to 432 of the family's 1533-position model. The record is from RNAcentral.